GACCCACUAGUCAAGUGGCUAAGACAUAACACUUUCAAUGUUACAUUCCCGGGUUCGAUCCCCGGGUGGGUUA
RNAcentral lists this transfer RNA (73 nucleotides) under Punica granatum (pomegranate). It matches the Rfam family "tRNA". From Rfam's summary of the family: Transfer RNA (tRNA) molecules are approximately 80 nucleotides in length. RNAcentral also lists the same sequence under 1 other name. The record is from Rfam by way of RNAcentral. Lineage: Eukaryota; Viridiplantae; Streptophyta; Magnoliopsida; Myrtales; Lythraceae.